This 433-nucleotide ribosomal RNA is filed under the name uncultured bacterium. RNAcentral describes it as "partial 16S ribosomal RNA". It matches the Rfam family "Bacterial small subunit ribosomal RNA", at positions 29 to 507 of the family's 1533-position model. The record is from RNAcentral.
AACGAACGCUGGCGGCAUGCCUAAUACAUGCCAGUCGAACGAGACCUUCGGGUCUAGUGGCGCACGGGUGCGUAACGCGUGGGAACCUGCCCUUAGGUUCGGAAUAACUCCCCGAAAGGGGUGCUAAUACCGGAUAAUGUCUUCGGACCAAAGAUUUAUCGCCUUUGGAUGGGCCCGCGUUGGAUUAGCUAGUUGGUAGGGUAAAAGCCUACCAAGGCGACGAUCCAUAGCUGGUCUGAGAGGAUGAUCAGCCACACUGGGACUGAGACACGGCCCAGACUCCUACGGGAGGCAGCAGUGGGGAAUAUUGGACAAUGGGCGAAAGCCUGAUCCAGCAAUGCCGCGUGAGUGAUGAAGGCCUUAGGGUUGUAAAGCUCUUUUACCCGGGAUGAUAAUGACAGUACCGGGAGAAUAAGCUCCGGCUAACUCCGUG